UACGAAGGGGGCUAGCGUUGUUCGGAAUUACUGGGCGUAAAGCGUGCGCAGGCGGUUCUAUAAGACAGAUGUGAAAUCCCCGGGCUCAACCUGGGAACUGCAUUUGUGACUGUAGAGCUGGAGUACGGCAGAGGGGGAUGGAAUUCCGCGUGUAGCAGUGAAAUGCGUAGAUAUGCGGAGGAACACCGAUGGCGAAGGCAAUCCCCUGGGCCUGUACUGACGCUCAUGCACGAAAGCGUGGGGAGCAAACAGG
This 253-nucleotide ribosomal RNA is filed under the name uncultured bacterium. RNAcentral describes it as "partial 16S ribosomal RNA". It matches the Rfam family "Bacterial small subunit ribosomal RNA", at positions 524 to 776 of the family's 1533-position model. The record is from RNAcentral.